Molecule: ribosomal RNA, 255 nt
Filed under: uncultured bacterium
Lineage: Bacteria
Description: partial 16S ribosomal RNA
Rfam family: Bacterial small subunit ribosomal RNA
Source: RNAcentral
UACGUAGGGGGCAAGCGUUGUCCGGAUUUAUUGGGCGUAAAGAGCGUGUAGGCGGCCAUACAGGUCAGCUGUGAAAACUCGAGGCUCAACCUCGAGACGUCGGUUGAAACCGUAUGGCUAGAGUCCGGAAGAGGAGAGUGGAAUUCCCGGUGUAGCGGUGAAAUGCGCAGAUAUCGGGAAGAACACCCGUGGCGAAGGCGGCUCUCUGGGACGGUACCGACGCUGAGACGCGAAAGCGUGGGGAGCGAACAGGAU